RNAcentral lists this ribosomal RNA (220 nucleotides) under uncultured Glomus. RNAcentral describes it as "partial small subunit ribosomal RNA". It matches the Rfam family "Eukaryotic small subunit ribosomal RNA", at positions 591 to 818 of the family's 1831-position model. Lineage: Eukaryota; Fungi; Glomeromycota; Glomeromycetes; Glomerales; Glomeraceae. The record is from RNAcentral.
CCAAUAGCGUAUAUUAAAGUUGUUGCAGUUAAAAAGCUCGUAGUUGAAUUUCGGGACUAAUAUGUCGGUCGUACUUUGUACGUACUAGCAUUAUUGGUUUCUCCCUUCUGACGAACCACGAUGUCAUUAAUUUGGUGUCAUGGGAAAUCAGGACUGUUACUUUGAAAAAAUUAGAGUGUUUAAAGCAAGCUCGCGCUUGAAUACAUUAGCAUGGAAUAAU